UCGAGAAUCAUUCGCAAUGGGCGAAAGCCUGACGAUGCGACGCCGUGUGUAUGAUGAAGGCCUUCGGGUUGUAAAGUACUUUCGCCUGUGAACAAGAGAAGCUAGCUAACAUCUAGCUGAUUUGAGGGUAGCAGGUAAAGAAGCACCGGCUAACUCCGUGCCAGCAGCUGCGGUAAUACGGAGGGUGCAAGCAUUAAUCGGAUUUAUUGGGCGUAAAGGGCGCGUAGGCGGAAAGAAAAGUCAGAUGUGAAAUCCCGAGGCUUAACCUCGGACCCGCAUUUGAAACUCUCUUUCUAGAGGGUAGAUGGAGAAAACGGAAUUCCACGUGUAGCGGUGAAAUGCGUAGAUAUGUGGAAGAACAUCUGUGGCGAAGGCGGUUUUCUAAUUUACACCUGACGCUGAGGCGCGAAAGUAAGGGGAUCAAACAGGAUUAGAUACCCCCGUAGUCC
RNAcentral lists this ribosomal RNA (449 nucleotides) under uncultured bacterium. RNAcentral's name for it is "bacterial SSU rRNA". It matches the Rfam family "Bacterial small subunit ribosomal RNA", at positions 355 to 796 of the family's 1533-position model. The record is from RNAcentral.